This 468-nucleotide ribosomal RNA is filed under the name uncultured bacterium. RNAcentral's name for it is "partial 16S ribosomal RNA". It matches the Rfam family "Bacterial small subunit ribosomal RNA", at positions 28 to 507 of the family's 1533-position model. The record is from RNAcentral.
GACGAACGCUGGCGGCGUGCUUAACACAUGCAAGUCGAACGGAAAGGCCCUGCUUUUGUGGGGUGCUCGAGUGGCGAACGGGUGAGUAACACGUGAGUAACCUGCCCUUGACUUUGGGAUAACUUCAGGAAACUGGGGCUAAUACCGGAUAGGAGCUCCUGCUGCUUUGUGUUGGUUGGUAAGUUUCGGCUGUUGGGGAUUGACUCGCGGCUUAUCAGCUUGUUGGUUGGGUAGUGGCUUACCAAGGCUUUGACGGGUAGCCGGCCUGAGAGGGUGACCGGCCAAAGUGGGACUGAGAGACGGCACAGAAGCAAACGGGAGGAAGCAGUGGGGAAUAUUGCACAAUGGGAGGAAGCCUGAUGAAGAAAAGCAGCGUGCGGGAUGACGGCCUUCGGGUUGUAAACAGAUUUAGAAUGUGAAGAAGAGUGAGUGACGGUAAUGGGUAAAGAAGCACCGGCUAACUACGUG